Molecule: ribosomal RNA, 75 nt
Filed under: Akkermansiaceae bacterium
Lineage: Bacteria; Pseudomonadati; Verrucomicrobiota; Verrucomicrobiia; Verrucomicrobiales; Akkermansiaceae
Source: RNAcentral
UCUGGUGACCAUAGCAUGGUGGAACCACCCGGUCCCAUUCCGAACCCGGAAGUGAAACACUGUUGCGCCGAUGGU